AUUGAACGCUGGCGGCAUGCCUUACACAUGCAAGUCGAACGGUAACAGGUCUUCGGACGCUGACGAGUGGCGCACGGGUGAGUAAUGCAUCGGAACGUGCCCAGUCGUGGGGGAUAACUGCUCGAAAGAGCAGCUAAUACCGCAUACGACCUGAGGGUGAAAGCGGGGGACCGUAAGGCCUCGCGCGAUUGGAGCGGCCGAUGUCAGAUUAGCUAGUUGGUGGGGUAAAGGCCUACCAAGGCAACGAUCUGUAGUUGGUCUGAGAGGACGACCAGCCACACUGGGACUGAGACACGGCCCAGACUCCUACGGGAGGCAGCAGUGGGGAAUUUUGGACAAUGGGCGCAAGCCUGAUCCAGCAAUGCCGCGUGCAGGAAGAAGGCCUUCGGGUUGUAAACUGCUUUUGUCAGGGAAGAAAUCUUCUGGGCUAAUACCCCGGGAGGAUGACGGUACCUGAAGAAUAAGCACCGGCUAACUACGU
Molecule: ribosomal RNA, 481 nt
Filed under: uncultured bacterium
Lineage: Bacteria
Description: partial 16S ribosomal RNA
Rfam family: Bacterial small subunit ribosomal RNA
Source: RNAcentral